RNAcentral lists this transfer RNA (72 nucleotides) under Alosa alosa (allis shad). Its description in RNAcentral is "tRNA-OTHER". Lineage: Eukaryota; Metazoa; Chordata; Actinopteri; Clupeiformes; Clupeidae. The record is from RNAcentral.
GCAGCCGUGGCCUACUGGUUAGGGCUUUGGGUUUGGAACCGAAGGGUUUCUGGUUCAGUCCCCGACCCAGUA